Molecule: ribosomal RNA, 492 nt
Filed under: uncultured bacterium
Lineage: Bacteria
Description: partial 16S ribosomal RNA
Rfam family: Bacterial small subunit ribosomal RNA
Source: RNAcentral
AGUGAACGCUGGCGGUAGGCCUAACACAUGCAAGUCGAACGGCAGCACAGUAAGAGCUUGCUCUUACGGGUGGCGAGUGGCGGACGGGUGAGGAAUACAUCGGAAUCUACUUUUUCGUGGGGGAUAACGUAGGGAAACUUACGCUAAUACCUCAUACGACCUACGGGUGAAAGCAGUGUAUCUUCGGACCUUGCGCGAUUGAAUGAGCCGAUGUCGGAUUAGCUAGUUGGCGGGGUAAUGGCCCACCAAGGCGACGAUCCGUAGCUGGUCUGAGAGGAUGAUCAGCGACACUGGAACUGAGACACGGUCCAGACUCCUACGGGAGGCAGCAGUGGGGAAUAUUGGACAAUGGGCGCAAGCCUGAUCCAGCCAUACCGCGUGGGUGAAGAAGGCCUUCGGGUUGUAAAGCCCUUUUGUUGGGAAAGAAAAGCAGCAGGUUAAUACCCCGCUGUUCUGACGGUACCCAAAGAAUAAGCACCGGCUAACUUCGUG